This 755-nucleotide ribosomal RNA is filed under the name uncultured Clostridium sp. RNAcentral's name for it is "bacterial SSU rRNA". It matches the Rfam family "Bacterial small subunit ribosomal RNA", at positions 84 to 856 of the family's 1533-position model. The record is from RNAcentral. Lineage: Bacteria; Bacillati; Bacillota; Clostridia; Eubacteriales; Clostridiaceae.
UCAUAAUGAGAGCGGCGGACGGGUGAGUAACGCGUAGGCAACCUGCCCCAAACACAGGGAUAGCCUCGGGAAACCGGGAUUAAAACCUGAUAAUGCCAAGAAGUCACAUGGCUUUUCGGCCAAAGAUUUAUCGGUUUGGGAUGGGCCUGCGUCUGAUUAGUUAGUUGGUGGGGUAACGGCCUACCAAGACAACGAUCAGUAGCCGACCUGAGAGGGUGAUCGGACACAUUGGAACUGAGACACGGUCCAAACUCCUACGGGAGGCAGCAGCGGGGAAUAUUGCACAAUGGGCGAAAGCCUGAUGCAGCAACCCCGCGUGAGCGAUGAAGGCCUCUGGAUCGUAAAGCUCUGUCCUAGGGGACGAAAAAAAUGACGGUACCCUUGGAGGAAGCCCCGGCUAACUACGUGCCAGCAGCCGCGGUAAUACGUAGGGGGCGAGCGUUAUCCGGAAUUAUUGGGCGUAAAGAGUACGUAGGUGGUCUUUUAAGCGCAGGGUUUAAGGCAAUGGCUUAACCAUUGUUCGCCCUGUGAACUGGGAGACUUGAGUGCAGGAGAGGAAAGCGGAAUUCCUAGUGUAGCGGUGAAAUGCGUAGAUAUUAGGAGGAACACCAGUGGCGAAGGCGGCUUUCUGGACUGUAACUGACACUGAGGUACGAAAGCGUGGGGAGCAAACAGGAUUAGAUACCCUGGUAGUCCACGCCGUAAACGAUGAGCACUAGGUGUCGGGGUCGCAAGACUUCGGUGCCGCAGUUAAC